Molecule: ribosomal RNA, 253 nt
Filed under: uncultured bacterium
Lineage: Bacteria
Description: partial 16S ribosomal RNA
Rfam family: Bacterial small subunit ribosomal RNA
Source: RNAcentral
CACGUAGGGCGCAAGCGUUAUCCGGAAUGAUUGGGCGUAAAGCGUCCGCAGGUGGCUGUGUAAGUCUGCUGUCAAAGAGCGAAGCUCAACUUCGUAAAGGCAGUGGAAACUACACGGCUAGAGUGCGUUCGGGGCAGAGGGAAUUCCUGGUGUAGCGGUGAAAUGCGUAGAGAUCAGGAAGAACACCGGUGGCGAAGGCGCUCUGCUAGGCCGCAACUGACACUGAGGGACGAAAGCUAGGGGAGCGAAUGGG